RNAcentral lists this small RNA (35 nucleotides) under Bombyx mori (domestic silkworm). RNAcentral's name for it is "ovarian small RNA-14041". Lineage: Eukaryota; Metazoa; Arthropoda; Insecta; Lepidoptera; Bombycidae. The record is from RNAcentral.
CCUGAAAUGAUUCUAAUACUGCGGAGAAUAAUUUC